RNAcentral lists this ribosomal RNA (671 nucleotides) under uncultured bacterium. Its description in RNAcentral is "bacterial SSU rRNA". It matches the Rfam family "Bacterial small subunit ribosomal RNA", at positions 143 to 803 of the family's 1533-position model. The record is from RNAcentral.
AUAACUUCUGGAAACGGAUGCUAAAACCGGAUAGGUAGCAGACAAGCAUUUGACUGCUAUUAAAGUGGCUAAGGCCAUGAACAUGGAUGGACCUGCGGUGCAUUAGCUAGUUGGUGAGGUAACGGCCCACCAAGGCGACGAUGCAUAGCCGGCCUGAGAGGGCGGACGGCCACAUUGGGACUGAGACACGGCCCAAACUCCUACGGGAGGCAGCAGUAGGGAAUUUUCGUCAAUGGGGGGAACCCUGAACGAGCAAUGCCGCGUGAGUGAGGAAGGUCUUCGGAUCGUAAAGCUCUGUUGUAAGAGAAAAACGGCACUCAUAGGGAAUGAUGAGUGAGUGAUGGUAUCUUACCAGAAAGUCACGGCUAACUACGUGCCAGCAGCCGCGGUAAUACGUAGGUGGCGAGCGUUAUCCGGAAUGAUUGGGCGUAAAGGGUGCGUAGGUGGCAGAUCAAGUCUGGGGUAAAAGGUAUGGGCUCAACCCGUACUGCUCUGGAAACUGAUCAGCUAGAGAACAGAAGAGGACGGCGGAACUCCAUGUGUAGCGGUAAAAUGCGUAGAUAUAUGGAAGAACACCGGUGGCGAAGGCGGCCGUCUGGUCUGGAUUCUGACACUGAAGCACGAAAGCGUGGGGAGCAAAUAGGAUUAGAUACCCUAGUAGUCCACGCCGU